GGAAUGUUUUGGUUGCUUUUGG
RNAcentral lists this non-coding RNA (22 nucleotides) under Arabidopsis thaliana (thale cress). Lineage: Eukaryota; Viridiplantae; Streptophyta; Magnoliopsida; Brassicales; Brassicaceae. The record is from RNAcentral.